This 72-nucleotide transfer RNA is filed under the name Ovis aries (sheep). It matches the Rfam family "tRNA". Rfam says of the family: Transfer RNA (tRNA) molecules are approximately 80 nucleotides in length. Their secondary structure includes four short double-helical elements and three loops (D, anti-codon, and T loops). Lineage: Eukaryota; Metazoa; Chordata; Mammalia; Artiodactyla; Bovidae. The record is from Rfam by way of RNAcentral.
UCCCUGGUGGUCCAGUGGUUAAGACUCGACGCUUCCGCUGCUGAGGCCCAGGUUCAGUCCCUGGUCAGGGAA